Non-coding RNA from Drosophila suzukii, 850 nucleotides. The record is from RefSeq and is a predicted model, not a curated record. Lineage: Eukaryota; Metazoa; Arthropoda; Insecta; Diptera; Drosophilidae.
CCCCACUGGGAAAGCUUACUCACACAUUGUGGGUAUUACAAAGGUUUAAUAAAUAUCCCUUUAAGACCUAAACCUGGCCGCCGUCUCGGAUAUUUACGCGGUCAAAGCAGAGGAUUUGUUUUGGCUGGAAAAGCGUACAGGCGCCGCGGAAACUAUGCUCUACCAGUCAUGUAUUGGUAGAGCUCGCAUGGAAACGCGGCCCUCAAAGGAACAUGCGCGAUGCGCGUGUGUAUGGUCACCUAAUUCUGAGGAGCUCAAGGGGAAAAGAAGGGACAGGCCAAAAAGGCAAACAACGAGGACAAAUAAGGCUCUCGAGUCUAACUCCGGAUAAAUUCACAAACAGGGAAGUAAAUAUCAAUAUAUAUAAUCAAGGUACACGUGUAUUCAAAUUUUCCUAAAUUUCAGCCACUGUUGGGCCGGGCCUGGAGGCGAUGAUAGCCCGGGCUGAUGACUUCCAGCCGGAGGCCAGCAGCGAUACAGGUCUCCAGGAAAGAAAACUGGCGCUCUCCGGUGAGUUAUGCAAGGGCAGUCUGAGGUUCGGCCGCCCGACAAAAUGGCGGUACCUCUCAACGCCGCGAUGCGACGGCUGGAAGUCCCCGAGAUGAGGUGGACGCGGUACACCGGAACGGACUCACCGGGAAAUGUUUGAUGUCGUCGGCGUCGACUGCGAAGACUGCUUUUCUGGGUGGUCGUCGGUACGGGUCGAACGGCCACCGGUUGCUGGGCAGCCAAGUCGGGCUGGUAGGUAUGGCGAAGUCGCGCAAAUGUCAGUAGAACUCCAAAUAAAUAUUCCGGGGCCCUUUGUGUUGGGACCCCGGCUGCCUUUAUAAAUGAUAAAUAUUAAAUACCG